AGUGAACGCUGGCGGUAGGCCUAACACAUGCAAGUCGAACGGCAGCACAGUAAGAGCUUGCUCUUACGGGUGGCGAGUGGCGGACGGGUGAGGAAUACAUCGGAAUCUACUUUUUCGUGAGGGAUAACGUAGGGAAACUUACGCUAAUACCGCAUACGACCUACGGGUGAAAGCAGGGGAUCUUCGGACCUUGCGCGAUUGAAUGAGCCGAUGUCGGAUUAGCUAGUUGACGGGGUAAAGGCCCACCAAGGCGACGAUCCGUAGCUGGUCUGAGAGGAUGAUCGGCCACACUGGAACUGAGACACGGUCCAGACUCCUACGGGAGGCAGCAGUGGGGAAUAUUGGACAAUGGGCGCAAGCCUGAUCCAGCCAUGCCGCGUGGGUGAAGAAGGCCUUCGGGUUGUAAAGCCCUUUUGUUGGGAAAGAAAAGCAGCAGGUUAAUACCCCGCUGUUCUGACGGUACCCAAAGAAUAAGCACCGGCUAACUUCGUG
This 492-nucleotide ribosomal RNA is filed under the name uncultured bacterium. RNAcentral describes it as "partial 16S ribosomal RNA". It matches the Rfam family "Bacterial small subunit ribosomal RNA", at positions 29 to 507 of the family's 1533-position model. The record is from RNAcentral.